CAGGGAGACAACAAAAUGUUAAAUAUUAAUUUUGUCACUUAGGUCGAUCGGUACCUCACAUUCUUAAUUUUUAAGAAUUUUAUUUCCUAAGUUUUUUCUAGGUCACACCCAUUACUUUUCCUGGGCCAUUAGCUCAGGUGGUUAGAGCGCACCCCUGAUAAGGGUGAGGUCCCUGGUUCAAGUCCAGGAUGGCCCAUAUCUCUAUGUUGGGGGUAUAGCUCAGUUGGUAGAGCGCCUGCUUUGCAAGCAGGAUGUCAGCGGUUCGAGUCCGCUUACCUCCACUGAUUACCACCUCUUCCAUAUUCUGUAGAAGGGAAAUGUUUUGAGUUGUGAUCAAAUUCUGAACGAUUCUAGCUUCCUAAUUUAACUCAUUAAGAUGCUGGAUUCAUUGAAUUAAAUUCAUUGUUUUCAGAGAACCUUGACAACUGCAUAGAUUAUUUUUAAAGACAAUAAGCAUCUUUAAUGAUGCAGAUUUAUUAUUUGUGCUAAAGCAUUAAUAACAAUUCUAUUAAGCUGAUGCUUCAA
This 525-nucleotide transfer RNA is filed under the name uncultured Prochlorococcus sp. RNAcentral describes it as "partial 16S-23S ribosomal RNA intergenic spacer". The stretch from base 209 to 281 matches the Rfam family "tRNA". Lineage: Bacteria; Bacillati; Cyanobacteriota; Cyanophyceae; Synechococcales; Prochlorococcaceae. The record is from RNAcentral.